Molecule: ribosomal RNA, 463 nt
Filed under: uncultured bacterium
Lineage: Bacteria
Description: bacterial SSU rRNA
Rfam family: Bacterial small subunit ribosomal RNA
Source: RNAcentral
GACGAACGCUGGCGGCGUGCCUAACACAUGCAAGUCGAACGGGGUAAUUCCUUCGGGGGUUACUUAGUGGCGAACGGGUGAGUAACGCGUGAGGAACCUGCCUUCCAGUGGGGGACAACAGUUGGAAACGACUGCUAAUACCGCAUAACACAUUCGGGGGGCAUCCCCUGAAUGUCAAAGAUUUAUCGCUGAAAGAUGGGCUCGCGUCUGAUUAGCUAGUUGGUGGGGUAACGGCUCACCAAGGCGACGAUCAGUAGCCGGUCUGAGAGGAUGAACGGCCACAUUGGGACUGAGAUACGGCCCAGACUCCUACGGGAGGCAGCAGUGGGGAAUAUUGGGCAAUGGGGGAAACCCUGACCCAGCAACGCCGCGUGAAGGAAGAAGGCCUUCGGGUUGUAAACUUCUUUUACCAGGGACGAAGAACGUGACGGUACCUGGAGAAAAAGCAACGGCUAACUACGUG